GAGCAACCUUUCCCAGACAGGGGAAUAACACACCGAAAGGUGUACUAAUACCGCAUAAGACCACGGGAUCACAUGGUUCUGGGGUAAAAGAUUUAUCGGUUUGGGGUGGGCUCGCGUCCGAUUAGGUAGUUGGUGAGGUAACGGCCCACCAAGCCGACGAUCGGUAGCCGACCUGAGAGGGUGAUCGGCCACAUUGGGACUGAGACACGGCCCAAACUCCUACGGGAGGCAGCAGUGGGGAAUAUUGGGCAAUGGGGGGAACCCUGACCCAGCAACGCCGCGUGGAGGAAGAAGGUUUUCGGAUCGUAAACUCCUGUCCUUGGAGACGAGUA
Molecule: ribosomal RNA, 332 nt
Filed under: uncultured bacterium
Lineage: Bacteria
Description: bacterial SSU rRNA
Rfam family: Bacterial small subunit ribosomal RNA
Source: RNAcentral